Molecule: ribosomal RNA, 778 nt
Filed under: Vibrio diabolicus
Lineage: Bacteria; Pseudomonadati; Pseudomonadota; Gammaproteobacteria; Vibrionales; Vibrionaceae
Description: partial 23S ribosomal RNA
Rfam family: Bacterial large subunit ribosomal RNA
Source: RNAcentral
CUAGAUUGCGUGGAGCCGUCCUUGAAAUACCACCCUUGUAGUGUUGAUGUUCUAACGUCGACCCCUUAUCGGGGUUGCGGACAGUGCCUGGUGGGUAGUUUGACUGGGGCGGUCUCCUCCCAAAGCGUAACGGAGGAGCACGAAGGUGGGCUAAUCACGGUUGGACAUCGUGAGGUUAGUGCAAUGGCAUAAGCCCGCUUGACUGCGAGAAUGACAAUUCGAGCAGGUGCGAAAGCAGGUCAUAGUGAUCCGGUGGUUCUGAAUGGAAGGGCCAUCGCUCAACGGAUAAAAGGUACUCCGGGGAUAACAGGCUGAUACCGCCCAAGAGUUCAUAUCGACGGCGGUGUUUGGCACCUCGAUGUCGGCUCAUCACAUCCUGGGGCUGAAGUCGGUCCCAAGGGUAUGGCUGUUCGCCAUUUAAAGUGGUACGCGAGCUGGGUUUAGAACGUCGUGAGACAGUUCGGUCCCUAUCUGCCGUGGGCGUUGGAGAAUUGAAAGGGGCUGCUCCUAGUACGAGAGGACCGGAGUGGACGAACCUCUGGUGUUCGGGUUGUGUCGCCAGACGCAUUGCCCGGUAGCUAAGUUCGGGAUCGAUAACCGCUGAAAGCAUCUAAGCGGGAAGCGAGCCUUGAGAUGAGUUCUCCCUGAUACUUUAAGUAUCCUAAAGGGUUGUCGUAGACUACGACGUUGAUAGGCAGGGUGUGUAAGCGUUGUGAGGCGUUGAGCUAACCUGUACUAAUUGCCCGUGAGGCUUAACCAUACAACACCCAAGGGGUUU